GAUGAACGCUGGCGGCAUGCCUAACACAUGCAAGUCGAACGAAGCACAUGAGACAGCUUGCUGAGGAUUGUGACUUAGUGGCGAACGGGUGAGUAAUGCAUGAGCAACCUGCCCUUCAGUGGGGGACAACAGUUGGAAACGACUGCUAAUACCGCAUAACACUUCCGAAAGGCAUCUUUUGGAAGUCAAAGAUUUAUUGCUGAAGGAUGGGCUCAUGUCUGAUUAGCUAGUUGGUAGGGUAACGGCCUACCAAGGCGACGAUCAGUAGCCGGUCUGAGAGGAUGAACGGCCACAUUGGGACUGAGAUACGGCCCAG
This 316-nucleotide ribosomal RNA is filed under the name uncultured bacterium. Its description in RNAcentral is "bacterial SSU rRNA". It matches the Rfam family "Bacterial small subunit ribosomal RNA", at positions 28 to 334 of the family's 1533-position model. The record is from RNAcentral.